CCCUAAUCAGCCGCUCUCAUUACAAACGCUGAUUAAACUGCAAAUUAUCCAGCAGCGGCCCUGUUCCCGUCUACCAGCAGCUCGUUCAAUAUCAAUUAAGGCCGAGCGGCAAAGCCUGCAGCCUCCGAGAGCUUCCAACUGCCUGAUAGUGGCACUUAUUAGUUUGGAAAACUAGGAAAAUACUAAUAAUCAACAACCAAGGGGAAAGAGGAGGCAACCAGACAAAAGGAAGGCAGGAACGCAGCCGGAGAAAGGAGCGAGCGCGCCGCCUGCCCGCGCCCCCGCCUCCGCCCCCGCUCCUCUGGCCCCAGAUUUCCACGGCAGAGCGCUGCUCACAGAGGCUGCAAAAAUGCAGUCCUGCCGCCCCACCAGCACCCCGACGCGGGGCUGAGGUGUGAAGACAAAAGCUGCCUUUCUCUCCUCCUCCUCCCUCGCUGUCCGCCUAUCUUUCCUCGGGAGGGGGGCUGCAGGCGGGAGAAACUAGCCCUCCCCCUCUAAGCAUACUUGCAUUUGCCAGGGGAUGCGGUUGGGAUGGAGAAAGCAGCUGGAGAAAGGUCCUGCAAAGACUGUUCACGGAUGGGACUGAAUCCCUUGGAGAACUCAGGAGACAACAGAAGACCUGCAAAAAUGUGUAGAGCUGGGAGCACGAGGACGGGUCCAUGAUCCACGUGAACACGGGGAGGCAGGGAAGACUUCAUGGAGGAGCCCCCCAGGACAGAGUUGUAUAUUCUAGUUACGGGUCCUUCUGGUUGUGCUACGUGGGAUGCCGCCUCAGCAUGGCCUGAUGAACGGUGUUCUGUUUGCACCCAGGAUCCAAACCGGUGAAACCCGGGGCCGCCAAAUUGGAGUGCGUGAACUCAACCACUCGAUCACAGGACCGGCCCCUUAACCCCAAACUUAAUUCUACCCUUCUUUCUUGCCUUUUCUCAGUUCAUUCCUGUUCUCCAUUCUCAUUCAGCUCCUACCUUUAUAUAAAUUCAUCUGUGUUGUUCACUGUUAUUUGUCUUUGUAGCCUUAUAUUCAUUUCCAAUUGGUUGCAAAAGCAAAAAUAGCGAUAAUGAAAGUCUAAAGGGCAAAGCAAGCGUCCAACUCAAGUAGUUGCUAGCUGCUGGCAACUGGUAGUUUGGUUUUUUACCCUGAAGCUUCCUUUUCUCCUUUUGAGUAUUUCACAAAGUAUUCAGGUAGCCUGCUCCAAUCAUUUUGUAACUGAGAGAUACAUUAUGGUCUAGAGAGACAAUGUGUCCUGAACAUUCUCUCCCACUAAUUUUUUUUUCCUGUUAGAACUGUUAACGUGUGGCUGCUUGAUUUGUGUGAUAUUCAGCCAAACUUCACUAACCAUUUUCAAAGCAGUGCUUGUAAAACAUUCAUUUUUUUUGUCUUUACUUAUGGAAAUUAACUUUUAUAAAGCAAAGAAAGCAAAAUUUCAUCGUGUGUAAUAGUGCAAACAAAUUUAAAUUAUAUAUCAGUCCUGUAGGCAUUAAUUUUUAUUUACUGUGUUAAACAAUAUUGCAUUUCAAAUGUUUAUUCUCCAAUGAUUUGGUGAAGACAAAUUCUCAUUUUUUAAAUAAAGAAUUGAAUAUGCUAAUAAACCCUUUUCUGUAA
RNAcentral lists this long non-coding RNA (1602 nucleotides) under Equus caballus (horse). Its description in RNAcentral is "lncRNA (ENSECAG00000033501.2)". Lineage: Eukaryota; Metazoa; Chordata; Mammalia; Perissodactyla; Equidae. The record is from RNAcentral.